GUCUCUUCGGAGACACUAAAUAAAAUUGGAACGAUACAGAGAAGAUUAGCAUGACCUCUGUGCAAGGAUGACACACACAAAUCGAGAAAUGGUCAAACUCACA
This 103-nucleotide small nuclear RNA is filed under the name Selaginella moellendorffii. The record is from RNAcentral. Lineage: Eukaryota; Viridiplantae; Streptophyta; Lycopodiopsida; Selaginellales; Selaginellaceae.